Molecule: ribosomal RNA, 500 nt
Filed under: uncultured bacterium
Lineage: Bacteria
Description: partial 16S ribosomal RNA
Rfam family: Bacterial small subunit ribosomal RNA
Source: RNAcentral
AUUGAACGCUGGCGGAAUGCUUUACACAUGCAAGUCGAACGGCAGCACGGACUUCGGUCUGGUGGCGAGUGGCGAACGGGUGAGUAAUAUAUCGGAACGUGCCCAGUCGUGGGGGAUAACGUAGUGAAAAUUACGCUAAUACCGCAUACGAUCUAUGGAUGAAAGCGGGGGAUCGCAAGACCUCGCGCGAUUGGAGCGGCCGAUAUCAGAUUAGGUAGUUGGUGAGGUAAAGGCUCACCAAGCCAACGAUCUGUAGCUGGUCUGAGAGGAGACCCAGACACCAUGGAAUAGGGACCCGGCCAAGCUCCUUACGGGGGCCAGCAGGGUGGAUUUUUGGACAAUGGACGCAAGUCUUUUCCGCCCUUUCCGCGUGCAGGAGAAGGCCCUUCGGUUUGAAACCUUUUUUUGUACAGAAGGAAAAGGUUUCUAUUAAUACUGGGGGCUCAUGACGGUACUGUAAGAAUAAGCCCCGGCUAACUACGUCCCACCCGCCGCCGUAA